GCUUAACACAUGCAAGUCGAGCGCCCCGCAAGGGGAGCGGCAGACGGGUGAGUAACGCGUGGGAACGUACCAUUUGCUACGGAAUAACUCAGGGAAACUUGUGCUAAUACCGUAUGGCCCGAAAGGGGAAAGAUUAUCGGCAAAUGAUCGGCCCGCGUUGGAUUAGCUAGUUGGUGGGGUAAAGGCCUACCAAGGCGACGAUCCAUAGCUGGUCUGAGAGGAUGAUCAGCCACACUGGGACUGAGACACGGCCCAGACUCCUACGGGAGGCAGCAGUGGGGAAUAUUGGACAAUGGGCGCAAGCCUGAUCCAGCCAUGCCGCGUGAGUGAUGAAGGCCCUAGGGUUGUAAAGCUCUUUCACCGGUGAAGAUAAUGACGGUAACCGGAGAAGAAGCCCCGGCUAACUUCGUGCCAGCAGCCGCGGUAAUACGAAGGGGGCUAGCGUUGUUCGGAUUUACUGGGCGUAAAGCGCACGUAGGCGGGCUAAUAAGUCAGGGGUGAAAUCCCGGGGCUCAACCCCGGAACUGCCUUUGAUACUGUUAGUCUUGAGUAUGGUAGAGGUGAGUGGAAUUCCGAGUGUAGAGGUGAAAUUCGUAGAUAUUCGGAGGAACACCAGUGGCGAAGGCGGCUCACUGGACCAUUACUGA
This 647-nucleotide ribosomal RNA is filed under the name Brucella intermedia. Its description in RNAcentral is "bacterial SSU rRNA". It matches the Rfam family "Bacterial small subunit ribosomal RNA", at positions 46 to 743 of the family's 1533-position model. Lineage: Bacteria; Pseudomonadati; Pseudomonadota; Alphaproteobacteria; Hyphomicrobiales; Brucellaceae. The record is from RNAcentral.